GGGAAAAUAGUGUGAAGAUGAAGAGGGAGUGCCAUGUGACAAUGGGAGACGGGAGUGAUGUAUUUACAAGCCACAGGACUCCUGGAGCUGCAGAAGGUAGAAGAGGGGCCAGAACAGUCCCCCCGGAGUACCUUCGGGGGAGCGGGGCCCUGCUGACACCUCGAUUCUGGACUUCUGGCUUUCAGAAGAUUCCACAUCCUUCGGAAGUAUCACCAUCCUUUGUCCAUCUCUCAGGAUGGACUGACCCACAUUCAAUGGCGAUUCACAUGGAACUUUAGCCUCCAGAGUUCUUCUUUGAAUACUAGCUGCUAACACAAAGAUCUGCACCUGUGGUGGCUCCACGCCCUAGGCGUCAAGGCUCACACCUGGCUGGCCCUCCUAUCCUCGUGGGGAAGUGUGGGGGAGGAGGGGUUCGGUUGGCGUCACUACCCCCUGGUUACUGGGGGAGCACCAAGCGCCCCAAGCCUGAUCCCGGCCCUCUCAUGCCUCUCUGACCACCAGGCCGGCCGGGUAUGGGCCCAGCACGCCAGCGCCAUCCAUUUUCAGGGCUAAUUGAUUUGGCAGGGAGGGCCCUUAGUCCAGUAUGACUGGUGGGGUAAGAAAUUGAUGUGAAGCCACAAGGAAAGAACGCCAGGUGAAGACAGAGGCAGAGACUGGAGGGAUGCAGCUGUGCACUGAGGAAUGCUGAAGAUGGCUGGAAACCACCCAAAGCCAGGAAGAAGCAAGGAAGGAUCCUCCCCUAGAGUCUUCAGAGGGCGAGUGGCCUCCCCUACACUUUGCUUUUAGUCUUUGAGACUCCAGAAUUGUAAGAGGCUCUCAGGAGACAUCCUCACCAGGACUACCUGUGAAUG
Molecule: long non-coding RNA, 851 nt
Organism: Bos taurus (domestic cattle)
Lineage: Eukaryota; Metazoa; Chordata; Mammalia; Artiodactyla; Bovidae
Source: Ensembl